AACGAACGCUGGCGGCAUGCCUAACACAUGCAAGUCGAACGAGACCUUCGGGUCUUGUGGCGCACGGGUGCGUAACGCGUGGGAACCUGCCCUUAGGUUCGGAAUAACUCCCCGAAAGGGGUGCUAAUACCGGAUAAUGUCUUCGGACCAAAGAUUUAUCGCCUUUGGAUGGGCCCGCGUUGGAUUAGCUAGUUGGUAGGGUAAAAGCCUACCAAGGCGACGAUCCAUAGCUGGUCUGAGAGGAUGAUCAGCCACACUGGGACUGAGACACGGCCCAGACUCCUACGGGAGGCAGCAGUGGGGAAUAUUGGACAAUGGGCGAAAGCCUGAUGCAGCAAUGCCGCGUGAGUGAUGAAGGCCUUAGGGUUGUAAAGCUCUUUUACCCGGGAUGAUAAUGACAGUACCGGGAGAAUAAGCUCCGGCUAACUCCGUG
Molecule: ribosomal RNA, 433 nt
Filed under: uncultured bacterium
Lineage: Bacteria
Description: partial 16S ribosomal RNA
Rfam family: Bacterial small subunit ribosomal RNA
Source: RNAcentral